UGUGAAAUUAAUUAUAAAGUCUAGCCUGCCCACUGAUUUUUUAAAGGGCCGCGGUAAUUUGACCGUGCGAAGGUAGCAUAGUCAGUAGUCUUUUAAUUGGAGGCUUGAAUGAAUGGUUGGACGAGGGAAAAGCUGUCUCUUUUAUGUAACUUGAACUUAACUUUUGAGUGAAAAGGCUCAUAUUAUGUAGUGGGACGAUAAGACCCUAUAAAACUUGACAUAAUCCAAAUAUGACUUGAGAUUUGAGUGAAGAUCGGUCCCGUUUGGCUUGCGUUUCGUUGGGGAGAUGAAGAUAUAAAAAUGUAACUGUCUGUUUGAAUUAAAUAGUGUUCAGUAGUUUGUGAUCCUUCUUUGUGGAUUAAAAGAAUAAGUUACUUUAGGGAUAACAGCGUGAUUUUCUUUGAGAGUUCUUAUCGACAAGAGUAGUUGCGACCUCGAUGUUGAAUUAAAAUUUCAGUUAGGUGUAGCCGCUUAGCUAGUGGGUCUGUUCGACCUUUAAAAUUUUACAUGAUUUGAGUUCAAACCGGU
RNAcentral lists this ribosomal RNA (528 nucleotides) under Macrobrachium lepidactyloides. RNAcentral's name for it is "partial 16S ribosomal RNA". It matches the Rfam family "Bacterial large subunit ribosomal RNA", at positions 1832 to 2620 of the family's 2925-position model. Lineage: Eukaryota; Metazoa; Arthropoda; Malacostraca; Decapoda; Palaemonidae. The record is from RNAcentral.